ACGUGGACAACCUAACCUAUGGAGGGGGAUAACCCCGGGAAACUGGGGAUAAUACCCCAUAGACUAUAAAUGCUGGAAUGCUUUGUAGUUGAAAGGUCCGCCGCCAUAGGAUGGGUCUGCGGCCGAUUAGGUUGUUGUUGGGGUAACGGCCCAACAAGCCUGUAAUCGGUACGGGUUGUGGGAGCAAGAGCCCGGAGAUGGAUUCUGAGACACGAAUCCAGGCCCUACGGGGCGCAGCAGGCGCGAAAACUUUACAAUGCGGGAAACCGUGAUAAGGGAACUCCGAGUGCCCGUAAAAUCGGGCUGUCCAUCUGUGUAAAAAACAGGUGAAGAAAGGGCCGGGCAAGACCGGUGCCAGCCGCCGCGGUAAUACCGGCGGCUCGAGUGGUGGCCACUAUUACUGGGCUUAAAGUGUUCGUAGCUGGUCUGUUAAGUCUCUGGGGAAAUCUACUGGCUUAACCAAUAGGCGUCUCAGGGAUACUGGCAGACUAGGGACCGGGAGAGGUGAGAGGUACUCCAGGGGUAGGAGUGAAAUCCUGUAAUCCUUGGGGGACCACCUGUGGCGAAGG
RNAcentral lists this ribosomal RNA (569 nucleotides) under uncultured archaeon. Its description in RNAcentral is "bacterial SSU rRNA". It matches the Rfam family "Archaeal small subunit ribosomal RNA", at positions 98 to 672 of the family's 1478-position model. The record is from RNAcentral.